Molecule: long non-coding RNA, 654 nt
Filed under: Prunus dulcis (almond)
Lineage: Eukaryota; Viridiplantae; Streptophyta; Magnoliopsida; Rosales; Rosaceae
Description: sRNA ncRNA
Source: RNAcentral
GUGGUUCGGUGCAACCGGGGUGGCAAAAAAAGUUUCAACCAUCAUGAAUGUUGGGAGGUGGUGAAAUAUUGCAAACGCUUCAUAAUUAUUCCAACGGGUCCGCCGUUGUGUUAAACGAGACGCCACUCCGUGAUUCAAUGACAUCAGAUUCACCUCUCGAUUCCCCUAUGAGUCAAGACUCACCCAUCGAAAAGGAGCCGAGGCCCAUUGGCCGAAAGGCUGCGAAGGCAAAGAAAGCGGGUAAUUCAAGCAAUAAUAAUUCAAAGUUUUUGGAGGAAAUUGCAAGGCAAAACGGCAUAAGAAUUGAAAUGGAGCAGAAACGCCAGGAUAACGAGUUGGCCCUUCAAGCCGAGUAUGCACGAGAAAGGGAGUAUUUGCGCAAAAAAGAUAUGGACAAGACGGAUCGGGAAACCAUGGCGAUGGAUACAAGUCAUAUGUCCCCUGAAACAAAACAAUUUUGGAAGCUAGAACGAAGGGAUGUUAUGAGAAGAAGACUUUUCCGGGAUGAUGGGCCUAGCAACACGGAUUGGUUAAAUGAUGGAAACCAUUAAAUUAGUUAGCAUACCUUUUAUGUAUUUGUAUUUUUCAUGUUUUCUAUUAAAGUUGUUGUAAUUCAUGUAUUUUAUUUUAGUAGUAGUAAUUCUUAAUGACUUG